This 160-nucleotide unclassified non-coding RNA is filed under the name soil metagenome. RNAcentral's name for it is "partial internal transcribed spacer 1". The record is from RNAcentral.
CCGAGUUUACAACUCCCAAACCCAUGUGAAACAUACCUUACUGUUGCUUCGGCGGGAUUGCCCCGGGCGCCUCGUGUGCCCCGGAUCAGGCGCCCGCCUAGGAAACUUAACUCUUGUUUUUAUUUUGGAAUCUUCUGAGUAGUUUUUUACAAAUAAAUAA